This 533-nucleotide ribosomal RNA is filed under the name uncultured bacterium. Its description in RNAcentral is "bacterial SSU rRNA". It matches the Rfam family "Bacterial small subunit ribosomal RNA", at positions 776 to 1307 of the family's 1533-position model. The record is from RNAcentral.
AAAUAGAUACCCAGGUAGUCCACGCCGUAAACGAUGAGUGCUAAGUGUUAGGGGGUUUCCGCCCCUUAGUGCUGCAGCUAACGCAUUAAGCACUCCGCCUGGGGAGUACGGCCGCAAGGCUGAAACUCAAAGGAAUUGACGGGGGCCCGCACAAGCGGUGGAGCAUGUGGUUUAAUUCGAAGCAACGCGAAGAACCUUACCAGGUCUUGACAUCCUCUGACAACUCUAGAGAUAGAGCGUUCCCCUUCGGGGGACAGAGUGACAGGUGGUGCAUGGUUGUCGUCAGCUCGUGUCGUGAGAUGUUGGGUUAAGUCCCGCAACGAGCGCAACCCUUGAUCUUAGUUGCCAGCAUUCAGUUGGGCACUCUAAGGUGACUGCCGGUGACAAACCGGAGGAAGGUGGGGAUGACGUCAAAUCAUCAUGCCCCUUAUGACCUGGGCUACACACGUGCUACAAUGGACGGUACAAAGAGUCGCAAGACCGCGAGGUGGAGCUAAUCUCAUAAAACCGUUCUCAGUUCGGAUUGUAGGCCG